AUAAAUUAUGUAAUAUGCCAGGGAGAUAUGUAUACUGUAGCUAAGAAAGUAAUACUUAGUGUAUGUUGUGUAGUAAGCUGUUAGUAGCCCAUGUGCCCCACCCUAAUAAUUUGGUCUAUUUUCUUCUCUUAACUUUGCCUACUGUUCUGACUUGGUGGUGCACAUGUAGCCUAUAACCUGUUUUAGAGAAAUGUCAUCAUCAAAUAUUGUAAGAGCUUUCAUUGUCUGCUUAUAUGCCCCCUUUAUUUAUCCUAUGGUUCAGACUUGGUUUACAGGGAGAACACUGUAAGAACGGCCCAUGUUCUGAAUUCUGUCGCUGUACUGUUGGGACUCUGCUGUUGGGACAACUUUGUGUAGGCCCUAACAGUUUGUGGGCAACGUUUGUCACCAUUUUAGUGAAAUUAAUCUAUUGUUUAGUGUUGUGUUGUUGCUUUUCCGGCAUUCAUCCCUCUUUUUUUGGUUUAUCCCACCAAGCUUUACAUGCUAAAAUCGUCACGGGUUGUAAUAUUAACUUACCAUAUGUAUCCAUCUUUGCACACAUGCCAGUACAUUUUCUGAUAGGACACCUUGAGCAGGCCUUUCUUCUGGAGGUAUUUCACCUUUUAAGCUGUUUUUUUGGCUACAAUAUAUGACUUAGCACACGAGCUAUUUUCAAUUAAAAAUCCUUGGGUCAGGUAUUGGAUUUGGGUGCGCACUUUAAGAGUAAAAAUUUGUAUCCAGCUGGAAAUUGGACCAAAAAAAAGAGAGUUCACUUGUUCACAUGUUGUUUAACGUCAUCGAGGACAAAACGCAGUGACAGUCAACGCUGACCAAGGCCAACCAUGAAUGUCUUACAAACAAUGUAAGAAGAUGGCCUCAUCAGCAGAGAUUGAUGCCAUAACUGAAUUGGUAGAUGUCGAGAUCCCUAAGUAAGAUGUAUGGGAACCAACUGUGGUUGCUGUAGAUGAUUAUGUACCUCCCAUAGAUGGGGACAACGUUGACAAGAUGUGUGAGUCGGACAAUAGCUCAGAUUUUUCAAGCUCAGACGGCUCGUCAUCCACUGACAGUGAAUAUGAAAAAAAGAAGAAGAAGAAGAAGGGGAAAAAAGGAAACAGCUAAAUCCAGAGAAAACCUCCGGGGACCAUGAAACAACAUCCCAGGAACAUCCUGAAAACGUCCUCGGAGACAUCCCUGUGACAAACCAUGAACUAGACAAAAUCUCCAGGGGACCGUGACACAACAUCUCAAGAACGUCCUAAAAAUGUCGGCGAGGACGGCCCCGGGACAAACCGGGAACUAGACAAAACCUCCAGGCAACCAUGCCACAAUGUCCUGACCACUUUAGGCCGACCAAUUAGACACAUUUUGGUGUACAAGGAUAGCCUUGCUAUCUCCAACCAAUCAGAGUUUUUGGAAACAGGCGUCUGGACACUACACCCGCCCACUCAGGCCAGGCAAGUAGUGUGACAGAUGGAGUGAGUGACUCAUUCUCAAGGUUGUGUCACCAAUGUCAGUGUCCGGAUACCCAUACUAGUGUA
This 1517-nucleotide long non-coding RNA is filed under the name Salmo salar (Atlantic salmon). RNAcentral describes it as "lncRNA (ENSSSAG00000101515.1)". The record is from RNAcentral. Lineage: Eukaryota; Metazoa; Chordata; Actinopteri; Salmoniformes; Salmonidae.